RNAcentral lists this ribosomal RNA (292 nucleotides) under uncultured bacterium. RNAcentral describes it as "partial 16S ribosomal RNA". It matches the Rfam family "Bacterial small subunit ribosomal RNA", at positions 505 to 796 of the family's 1533-position model. The record is from RNAcentral.
GUGUCAGCCGCCGCGGUAAUACGGAGGCCUCGAGCGUUGUUCGGAAUCACUGGGCUUAAAGCGCGUGUAGGCGGGACGGCAAGUACUUUGUGAAAUCCCCGGCUUCAAUCCGGGAACUGCUAGGUAUACUGCCGUUCUUGAGGCAGGUAGGGGUCACUGGAACCUUAGGUGGAGCGGUGAAAUGCGUAGAUAUCUAAGGGAACGCCUGUGGCGAAAGCGGGUGACUGGGCCUGCCCUGACGCUGAGACGCGAAAGCGUAGGGAGCAAACGGGAUUAGAAACCCGUGUAGUCC